GCCAUUAGCUCAGUUGGUAGAGCAUCUGACUUUUAAUCAGAGGGUCGAAGGUUCGAGUCCUUCAURAGGGGCCU
Molecule: transfer RNA, 74 nt
Filed under: Bacillus cereus
Lineage: Bacteria; Bacillati; Bacillota; Bacilli; Caryophanales; Bacillaceae
Description: tRNA-Lys
Source: RNAcentral